UAGAACAUUUGAGGUGCCGGCAGUAGCGGUGCGUGGCGUUGAAUGAAACUAAUAAGAUUAUGGAGAUCAACAACUACCUGCUGUAGGGAUCAUGUCUGGCAGUGCUGCUGACUGCCAGUACUGGGAGAGACUGCUGGCUAAGGAGUGCAGGCUGUACAAACUGAGGAACAAGCAGAGGAUCUGUGUCUGCAGCCUCUAAGCUGCUGUGUAACAUGAUGCUGGGAUACAGAGGCAUGGGCCUCUCCAUGGGCAGCAUGAUCGUUGGCUGGGACAACAAGGUACAGGGUGGGAGUAUAGUUUGUAUGUGUGUGUGUGUGGGGUGGUAUGUGUUUAUUUGAAAGGCUGAUUUUAUAGCUUACAUUUUCAUCCUGAUGGUACCCACAUUUCGGCUACUGGCCCAACGCUCUUAACCGCUAGGCUACCUGCCACCCCAUAAUUUCACACAGGUCAUCAAAAUAUAUAUUACUUAUUAAGCCCAUAUACAAAAUUAUAUUGUUCCACUUCCAAUACCUGUUUAGAGCAUAUCUU
Molecule: long non-coding RNA, 528 nt
Organism: Salvelinus sp. IW2-2015
Lineage: Eukaryota; Metazoa; Chordata; Actinopteri; Salmoniformes; Salmonidae
Source: RefSeq, a predicted model, not a curated record